Molecule: long non-coding RNA, 1359 nt
Organism: Cygnus olor (mute swan)
Lineage: Eukaryota; Metazoa; Chordata; Aves; Anseriformes; Anatidae
Exons: 3
Source: RefSeq, a predicted model, not a curated record
AAUUUGCCUGAUGUUUAACAAAGGGAGCAGGUCAAUCCAGCAAGCACGAGACAGGAAUAAAAAGCAUCAGCAUCUGCAGGGAGCGAUGCAGUGCAGCAAGGGGGAGCAGAAGAAGCAGGGAAAGGCUUUUUAUAAUGUUUUGUGGGGAUUUCUGGAUUUGCUAAGCCCUGUGUAAGAAAUGUGUGCAUAGCCCUGUGUAUAACCUCCCUGCCUGGUUUCAAUGUGCCUUGCUGAACUUGAUUCUCACCUGCAUAUUCAGGUGUAAAGCAGGAUGGACAUCGGAUGUACCAAAAUUGGAGUUGUCUGUAAAGUGCUGGGUCUGGGUGAUCAGGGCAGUGUUUGCAGAUGUCCAGACCCCGUGGGAGGGUGUGCACACACAAGUCGCCCCUUGCUGUCUCUCUGUGGCUAGCACCACGUACCUUUCCCCCUCUGCCCCAGCAGCAGUGGGACAUGGCCCCCCAUUUGUCUUUAUAAGUGCCACAUCACAUUUCACCAUUCGGGUAGAAGAAACAGUGAUGGGAUAUUUGUUCUCUGCAAAAUACAAAGUGACAGGACAUCUUUCUCAACAAAUGAAUAACCAAGUUUAAAUAACCAUGCCAAAAUAUUCUUUUGAAAAACGUCUGUCCCUAAUUCAGUUUGCCCGAUCAUUGUAAUUUAGUGUAGUUUCCUUCUGAGAAACUGAAUUAUUUGGGAGGCCACACAAGACUGCAAAGGGUGGUGAGAAGGCAUAUGGAGAGAAAGACAGAAGCACAGUGAAGCAGCAGGAACAGUAAGAUGGAAAACCCGAGCUGUGGAGCCAGCCAUGCCCAGGAUAACCGUGUGUGAGGAACAAGCCACGUGUGGAAUCCUAAGCAGAGAACUCCUGGGGAGGGGCAAGAAAAGUACCACGAAGUAAAAAUCCUUUAGGCAAAAUAGAGAAUUGCACCGCGAUGGAUAUGUGAUUCUUUUUCUUAUGUAUCUAGGCAACUAUUUGCUUUAGAAGUAAUGACUGUUAUAAAUCACAGAAUGAAGUUUCUAAACCCAACACAUGCCUGGAACAGAGCUGUUGAUACUAUCCAGCUAAUAAAACAUAUUUCUUGAAGCAACAUCAAGUUACCUAUCAUUGUGUCACUCACCUUUGUGACAAUGAUUACAGCUUAUGCAGGGCAUAAUUUAGGACACCUUUAGAACAGCUCUAGUCUUGUGUCUGGAAACAGCAAAAAGCCAAAGGAACUGUGAACAUAUGCCAUCUUACAAACAAAUGGUGUCAUCUAAUUCGUGAAUUUCUGAAUGUCACAUGAAGAUAUGCGGUAUGACAGUCUCAGCCGGUGCCUCUCCCUGCCAUUGCUUUGGCUGAGGCUAUUACUUUUGGGGUCAGUG